GGCCAGACUCCUACGGGAGGCAGCAGUGGGGAAUAUUGCACAAUGGGGGAAACCCUGAUGCAGCGACGCCGCGUGAGUGAGGAAGUAUUUCGGUAUGUAAAGCUCUAUCAGCAGGGAAGAAAAUGACGGUACCUGACUAAGAAGCCCCGGCUAACUACGUGCCAGCAGCCGCGGUAAUACGGAGGAUGCGAGCGUUAUCCGGAUUUACUGGGUGUAAAGGGGGCGCAGACGGCGAUGCAAGCCAGGAGUGAAAGCCCGGGGCCCAACCCCGGGACUGCUCUUGGAACUGCGUGGCUGGAGUGCAGGAGGGGCAGGCGGAAUUCCUGGUGUAGCGGUGAAAUGCGUAGAUAUCAGGAGGAACACCGGUGGCGAAGGCGGCCUGCUGGACUGCAACUGACGUUGAGGCCCGAAAGCGUGGGGAGCAAACAGGAUUAGAUACCCCGGUAUUU
This 449-nucleotide ribosomal RNA is filed under the name uncultured bacterium. Its description in RNAcentral is "bacterial SSU rRNA". It matches the Rfam family "Bacterial small subunit ribosomal RNA", at positions 329 to 795 of the family's 1533-position model. The record is from RNAcentral.